CCGCGGGCCCGCCGCAUCACCACGGAGUUGAGGUUGACGUUGAGAGAGCCGCGGAGGCAGGAGGCCGAGUAAGACAGGAGGCAGGAAGUGCCAUCGCUGCCUCAGAUUGCCUGCAGCUGAAACAGAGAAGCAUGAAAGAGGCUGAGUGCGGAGGAAAAGGUUCAGGCUGAUUAAAAGAAUAGCAACUACUGGUUUCGAA
Long non-coding RNA from Pezoporus occidentalis (night parrot), 199 nucleotides. RefSeq lists it as uncharacterized. NCBI's taxonomy places the organism in Eukaryota, Metazoa, Chordata, Aves, Psittaciformes, Psittacidae. The record is from RefSeq and is a predicted model, not a curated record. The transcript is spliced from 2 exons.